Molecule: non-coding RNA, 28 nt
Filed under: Mus musculus (house mouse)
Lineage: Eukaryota; Metazoa; Chordata; Mammalia; Rodentia; Muridae
Source: RNAcentral
GACCUGAGCCAGCAAUUGCCUUUCAAUU